AGGGACAUAGUUCAAGGGUAGAAUAGUGGUCUCCAAAACCAUUGAUGGGCGUUCGAAUCGCUCUGUCCCUG
Molecule: transfer RNA, 71 nt
Filed under: Muribaculum sp. An287
Lineage: Bacteria; Pseudomonadati; Bacteroidota; Bacteroidia; Bacteroidales; Muribaculaceae
Also listed under: 3 other names
Rfam family: tRNA
About the family: Transfer RNA (tRNA) molecules are approximately 80 nucleotides in length. Their secondary structure includes four short double-helical elements and three loops (D, anti-codon, and T loops). Further hydrogen bonds mediate the characteristic L-shaped molecular structure. tRNAs have two regions of fundamental functional importance: the anti-codon, which is responsible for specific mRNA codon recognition, and the 3' end, to which the tRNAs corresponding amino acid is attached (by aminoacyl-tRNA synthetases). tRNAs cope with the degeneracy of the genetic code in two manners: having more than one tRNA (with a specific anti-codon) for a particular amino acid; and 'wobble' base-pairing, i.e. permitting non-standard base-pairing at the 3rd anti-codon position.
Source: Rfam by way of RNAcentral